UUUUUUUGGUAAUUGUCGUUGUGGAUUGGACUUUUGGUUGGUGGAAGGAUCUGACUUCCCGGCACUUGAUAGUUGAUGAUGUGUUGAACACGCAAUAGAUGCGGAUACUCUUGGUGCCCCAAGUUGUAUCUCUUGCUGAUACGUUGUGUCUUUGCCCCUGAGGCGAUCUCGACUUCUUCUUCUGAGAUGUCUGGCUAGCCUGUAACUUGAGCAUAACGACAUAAUCAACGCAUUC
This 235-nucleotide long non-coding RNA is filed under the name Lathyrus oleraceus (garden pea). RNAcentral describes it as "Pisum sativum (pea) long non-coding RNA (PSAT_LNC006463)". The record is from RNAcentral. Lineage: Eukaryota; Viridiplantae; Streptophyta; Magnoliopsida; Fabales; Fabaceae.